CCUACGGGUGGCAGCAGUGAGGAAUAUUGGUCAAUGGGCGGGAGCCUGAACCAGCGAAGAAGCGUGAAGGAAGAAGGCGCCAGGCGUCGUAAACUUCGUGUGUCGGGGAACAAAGGGCGCCACGCGUGGCGUUGGUAGUGGACCAGAAGAAAAAGCAUCGGCUAACUCCGUUCCAGCAGCCGCGGUAAUACGGAGGAUGCGCGCGUUAUCCGGAUUUCUUGGGUUUAAACGGUGCGUAGGCGGUCCGGAAAGUCAGCGGUAAAAGCCCGGGGCUCAACCCCGGCGAGCCGUUGAAACUGUCGGACUAGAGACGGCGAGAAGUACGCGGAAUGCGCGGUGUAGCGGUGAAAUGCAUAGAUAUCGCGCAGAACUCCGAUUGCGAAGGCAGCGUACCGGCGCCGGACUGACGCUGAGGCACGAAAGCGUGGGUAUCGAACAGGAUUAGAUACCCUGGUAGUC
Molecule: ribosomal RNA, 459 nt
Filed under: uncultured bacterium
Lineage: Bacteria
Description: partial 16S ribosomal RNA
Rfam family: Bacterial small subunit ribosomal RNA
Source: RNAcentral